Cricetulus griseus (Chinese hamster) is the source of this 257-nucleotide non-coding RNA. NCBI's taxonomy places the organism in Eukaryota, Metazoa, Chordata, Mammalia, Rodentia, Cricetidae. The record is from RefSeq and is a predicted model, not a curated record.
GGAGAGGAGACGCUUGCUCAAGCCCAAUUGCAGCUGAGCUCAGUUCCGAAGUGGAAGCACUCAGAGAGCCACACCCUGACCCUAGGCAGAGAUGUGGACACUACUGCAUCAACAGCCCACAAGAUAUGACCAAGACACUUCUCAACUGCUAAAAAGAAAGAAAUGAAACCCUUCCAUCAACUCUCAGCCCAUGUUCCUUCUCUGGGAACUUAUUCGCUGCCUCCUUCCAGUGUAUUUCAAUAAAUUCUGUUUUUCCA